UGCAGCAACGCCGCGUGCGGGAUGACGGCCUUCGGGUUGUAAACCGCUUUUAGUAGGGAAGAAGGGCUUCGGCUUGACGGUACCUGCAGAAAAAGGACCGGCUAACUACGUGCCAGCAGCCGCGGUAAUACGUAGGGUCCGAGCGUUGUCCGGAAUUAUUGGGCGUAAAGAGCUCGUAGGCGGUUUGUCGCGUCUGCUGUGAAAUCUGGAGGCUCAACCUCCAGCCUGCAGUGGGUACGGGCAGACUAGAGUGCGGUAGGGGAGAAUGGAAUUCCUGGUGUAGCGGUGGAAUGCGCAGAUAUCAGGAGGAACACCGAUGGCGAAGGCAGUUCUCUGGGCCGUAACUGACGCUGAGGAGCGAAAGCGUGGGGAGCGAACAGGAUUAGAUACCCUGGUAGUCCACGCCGUAAACGUUGGGCGCUAGAUGUGGGGACCUUUCCACGGUUUCCGUGUCGUAGCUAACGCAUUAAGCGCCCCGCCUGGGGAGUACGGCCGCAAGGCUAAAACUCAAAGGAAUUGACGGGGGCCCGCACAAGCGGCGGAGCAUGCGGAUUAAUUCGAUGCAACGCGAAGAACCUUACCAAGGCUUGACAUAACCGAGAACGCCGCAGAAAUGUGGAACUCUUU
Molecule: ribosomal RNA, 627 nt
Filed under: Agromyces sp. So1Ps_784
Lineage: Bacteria; Bacillati; Actinomycetota; Actinomycetes; Micrococcales; Microbacteriaceae
Description: bacterial SSU rRNA
Rfam family: Bacterial small subunit ribosomal RNA
Source: RNAcentral